This 328-nucleotide long non-coding RNA is filed under the name Linum usitatissimum (flax). Its description in RNAcentral is "long non-coding RNA (LUSI_LNC001090)". Lineage: Eukaryota; Viridiplantae; Streptophyta; Magnoliopsida; Malpighiales; Linaceae. The record is from RNAcentral.
UGCCUCCUGGUGUUGAAUCUCCAUCGGAUACUCUACGGUCCUCUCCUUUCCUCCCAUUUCCAAAUCUAUCCUCCCGACGCCAAUCAUUGAUAAUCUCAGGCCGAGCUGGACUUUUCUUGUAAUCAUUGUACUGUCGACCUUCUUGAACAUAUCCAGGGCUUCGCCUCUCAUCAUAUCUGCUAUUUUUAUCAUCACUUCUUCCACCAGGACUAGACCUUUGAUUGAAACGCCGUUCAUAGACAUCCUCAUAUGGUGGACUCCGAGAGCCUCCUUGGUAUGCGUCGGUUCGUUUAUUCUCAAAUAGAUCUUCUUUUUCACCCUGUAUAAA